Molecule: non-coding RNA, 125 nt
Organism: Triticum aestivum (bread wheat)
Lineage: Eukaryota; Viridiplantae; Streptophyta; Magnoliopsida; Poales; Poaceae
Source: Rfam
AGAAUACUCCCUCCAUACGAAAAUACUUGUCCGAGGAAUGGAUGAAUCUAAAUGUAUUUUAGUUUUAGAUACGUCUAUUUAUAUCCAUUUCUUCGACAAGUAUUUCCAAACGGAGGGAGUAUAAG